CUAUUCCCAGCUUUGCUAUAGGCCUAAUGCGUGACUAUGGUUUAAAAAUAGAAUCCUAGUCGUCACCCAAAACAGCAAAAUUGUAGACAUGCCUAGUGAAGUUUGGAUCAAGCCCAUGAACAGUUUACUAUUUGAAUGAAUAAAGUGAUCUGGAUUUGUAUCCUGAUAAAAAUUGUAGAACUGUGAGAGUCCAGAACAGAGAACCAAAGGGAGAUUGCAAGAGCAAGGAGUGUUCAGCAGCCAUCACGGGUGAUAAGAAGGAACUGAGAGGGUGCAGGGCCCCAUAUACCAGCUCAGGAGCAUGGGACUCCAGAGGGUGCCAGAGCCAGCCCUACGGAUAUCGCUAAGGGAAAAAUCUCUAGCAGCCAUGCAUAUGGGCUGACACGGAAUCAA
Mauremys reevesii (Reeves's turtle) is the source of this 393-nucleotide long non-coding RNA. RefSeq lists it as uncharacterized. The record is from RefSeq and is a predicted model, not a curated record. Lineage: Eukaryota; Metazoa; Chordata; Testudines; Geoemydidae. The transcript is spliced from 4 exons.